UCGGGAAUUUUGGGCAAUGGGCGAAAGCCUGACCCAGCAACGCCGCGUGAGGGAUGAAGUAUUUCGGUAUGUAAACCUCGAAAGAAUGGGAAGAAUAAAUGACGGUACCAUUUAUAAGCUCCGGCUAACUACGUGCCAGCAGCCGCGGUAAUACGUAGGGAGCAAGCGUUGUUCGGAUUUACUGGGCGUAAAGGGCGCGUAGGCGGCGCGGUAAGUCACUUGUGAAAUCCCUGAGCUUAACUCAGAACGGCCAAGUGAUACUGCUGUGCUAGAGUGCGGAAGAGNCAACCGGAAUUCUUGGUGUAGCGGUGAAAUGCGUAGAUAUCAAGAGGAACACCUGAGGCGAAGGCGGGUUGCUGGGCCGACACUGACGCUGAUGCGCGAAAGCCAGGGGAGCAAACG
Molecule: ribosomal RNA, 402 nt
Filed under: uncultured bacterium
Lineage: Bacteria
Description: bacterial SSU rRNA
Rfam family: Bacterial small subunit ribosomal RNA
Source: RNAcentral